GAGUUUGUGAGAGGUGUUUUUCCACAAUCCUUACCCUGCAACAGCCCUGUUCGUUUGGUUGCCGCAGGUUUCGGCGUCAGCGGCAGCGUCUGCGUCGGCGGCGGCGGCAGCGUCAAAGAAAACAGUUGUUAUUCGUUUCGCAGACGCUGCCGCUGACGCUGCCGCAAAUUAUUGUUCGUUUAGAAGACGCAGGAAGUUGAGGUCGACGCCGACGCUGCCGCAGGAAGCAGAUUUUUGGGUUGUUCGUUUGCCAGACGCAGCGGCUAAUUUUUUGGUCAAUUAUACAAAUGUAAAUUAUACAAAUGUAACAAUUUUUUUUUUCAUACAUCAUAAGCUAAAUUAGAAACAAAAUAAUAAUUCAAAAUAUUUAUCAUAAACAAAAGCUAAAUAUUACAUCAAGUCUUAAAUAAAUAUCACAUUUAAAUGACAAUCAAAGUUAUAAGCAAAAAAAAAUUAAAUCAUCAACUAAAACAUUUAAUACGGUAAACGACCUCUACCAUAUUCAUUUGUGAUGUUAUCACGCAAAUCUUCCAUCGCUCUAUCACCUGUCGGCUCAUAUACAAUAUGUCCACCACCACCACCACCACCACCACCACCUCCACCACCACCAUCAUCUUCAUCAUCAUCAUCAU
This 632-nucleotide long non-coding RNA is filed under the name Brassica napus (rape). RNAcentral describes it as "long non-coding RNA (BNAP_LNC022256)". The record is from RNAcentral. Lineage: Eukaryota; Viridiplantae; Streptophyta; Magnoliopsida; Brassicales; Brassicaceae.